This 4378-nucleotide long non-coding RNA is filed under the name Triticum aestivum (bread wheat). RNAcentral's name for it is "long non-coding RNA (TAES_LNC026491)". The record is from RNAcentral. Lineage: Eukaryota; Viridiplantae; Streptophyta; Magnoliopsida; Poales; Poaceae.
CGGGCUUAUAGAAAAACGAGCUUAUAGGCGUUUUUCCACAAACGCGGUUGCUAUAUGCGUGAUCGCAACAACUUUUUCCCGCUCGCUCGCUUCGCAACAACUUUUCUGGCGCCAGUUCUGCGUUUUGCUGCUCGCCCUCGCGCCUUUUUCAUUGCUUAUAUACAGGCCCCAUCGCUAAUAAAACUGGCUGGCCGUCAAUUCCAUUCACAUGCGCUGGCUGGGAGACGCUGGCACUGGUUCUCAGCGGCUUCUUCAUCAGGCGGUUCUCAUCAUCUUCCCAUCUUCAAUCAAGUUGCACGACCCUGGUAAGAUCAAUCAUCCUGUCAAUAUAAGUUGUAGUCGAUGUACAUAUUUCAUGAUAUUGUCCAUUGAUCAAUCAUCCAGAUCAACAAAUUAGUCCAUAUAAGUUGUAGAUGUACAAAUUUCAUGGUAUUGUUCAUCGAUCAAUCAUCUUGAUCAACAAAUUGGUCCAUAUGAGUUGUAGAUGUACAGAGUUCAUGGUAAUGUUCAUCGAUCAAUCAUCCUGAUCAACAAAUUCGUACGUAUAAGUUGUAGAUCUACAAAUUCAUGGUAUUGUUCAUCGAUUCAUUUUUUCGUAAUGAAGCUCAUUUUGCAGAAAGAAAAAAACUCCGGUAAUCUGAGAUAGCCAAUUCGUAGAUGAAACUAGAACCACCAACUUGGCAAUUUGUCCCCUCCUCUCUCUAAUUGGAAACACACCUCUGUUUGAUUAUAAAAGAAACCCACUACACUAGUUACUUGCUGCUGUACAUGGAAACCAGGUAAACGCCAGAUAUGAAAAAAGAGUAAAUGGCACGCUAACUCUAAUUAUAUAUUUAUAUGGUAUUAAUAGGCAGUAGGCCAAUCUGAACUGUGCGAUAUAAGUAUGUAUGUUUGUGCUGUAGUCUAAAUUGUAUACACAUGUAUCAUAGUCUAGUAUGUAGGCCAAUCGUGUACUCCUGGAUAUAAGGGGCCCUCAAAUUUAAAUUGAACAUGCACAUGCAGCUUUACCUCUAUAAAAACAAAUGGUAAGCCAACAGUAGAUCACUGAAAUACAAGCCAUCAGUUCCUUUGUCGACCUGCAUUGUGAAAAGAACAUAGGAAUACACGUAGAAAUCAAACAAUUAGUAGUAAGUGUUGUCAUAGGUAAAACAUUAAAGAUUAGCUCAGUCCUAGACCCCCAUUUGUCUACUGCAAUCAGAAGAAUACACGCCAAGAGAUGAUUUGAAUGCAGUUGAAAUAUUAUUAUCAUGUUCAUUUCUUCCACUUAACAGUGUUCUUCUCAACCAAAUAACUCACUUUGCAAUAUGGCUUGUUGUAAGUACAACUUUAAAUUGGAGGUUUUGAAAUGUCAAGAGAAAUUAUGUUUGUCAAUCACAUACUCAUUUAAAUUUUUAUUUUCUUGUAGAUAAAUAUGGAUGAUCAGAAGGACCAAAAAAAUAGGAAAGAAAACCCAGAUAAAAAGAGGCAUGUAUGGAAAUCUUCGGAGGACAAAAUACUUCUCACUAUAAUGAAAGAUCAAACUUUACACGGAGGGAAAGAAGGAACAGGUUACACAAAGAAAGCAUGGCGUGAUAUCUUAAAACAAUUCAAUGAUUCAAGAGUAGACAAACUUGAAUUACAACAAUUGAAAAAUCGCCAUAAGUACUACUGGAGUUGCUAUGCUGCCAUGGAUAGACUUCUUAAACUGACUGGAUUUGGUUGGGACGACGAUGACAAAAUGAUAAAAGCUUCAGAAGAAACUUGGGAGGAACUAAUUGAGGUAAGUUUGUGCGAGUAGGAUUCAUAUAAAAUUGGUAUAUUAUAUUUAUUAAUAAAAAAAUUAACAACUUGCAGAAGGAUAAGUCACUCCAAGAAUAUCGAGAAAAGGUGUGGCCUAGUUGGGAAGAUCUUCAACAAAUAUGUGCUAGUUCAACGGCAUCUGGAGUUGGUGCUGUAUCUAGCAAAGGGAAAGAUGGUUCAUGCACAACUAAAUCAUCUCAAAUUGAUCUCAAUAAGGAUGUUGAAGUACAUGAAAUCGAGUCUGAUGAAAACAAUGGCUCCCCUGGUGUGUUCACUAAGAAGUCGACAGCCAUUGAGCCAGAAAAAAGGAAAUUCCCUGGAAGUGGAUCAAAAGAAACUACAAGAGGACAAAAACGUACAGCUGAUGAUGCCAUAACAGCAAUUGAUCGUCUUGCAGAUGCAUCACUCAGCAUUGCUGAAGCAAAGAAAAAAACAGCAGAACAAAAUGACACUUACUCGGUUAAAUCAUGCAUGUCAGUACUAAAUAGUAUGGGUAGCCUCGAUGCCAGCACAAAACUGAAAGCAGUAAAAGCAUUUACAGAUGGUGACAAACGCACCAUUUUCAUUGAGAUGUAUGAAGAAACUCGAAAGCUUUGGAUUCUUGAUCCUUAGUUAUUUUGUAAUACACCAUUAUUUGAUUUCAGUAAUUGUCAUUUUAUGUAUUUAGAGAACAAUUUCCAUUGCUUUUUCUGUCAGUUUGUGUUGCAACAAUCAACUGUACUUUCAGUUUGAGAAAGUUCAUUUCCAACUAUUUUAUAUAUCUUAUAAAAUAUUAUUCUGAGAUGAUACAAUCAAUAGUGUACACUGUGCAGGGAACCAUGAACAGUUUGUAUGUGCCAGAUGAUGAAUUUUCUGAUUCCGAGCAAGUUCUUAUUAAUAACAUUUCUGCAGUGUCCGUGUUUCGUGAUGUGUUGUUCACAAGGUUAUUCAAAACACCUCGUAACACCUCCAUAUUAACUGGUGCCCAGAAAACAAAAGAGUUGCUAGAGGGACAUCCAGUUAGAUUUUACGAACAAAUUCGUCUUGAGAAGCACAUAUUCUACUUGCUGCGAGAUGCUUUGUGUGAGAGAGGCUUACUGAAGGAUACAAAGCGAAUGACAGUGGACGAACAACUACUCAUGUUUCUACAUACCAUUGGUCACAAUGUUAGGAACCAUGUCAUCUAAGAUAGAUAUCAGCAUUCUGGUGAACCAAUCAGCCGACACUUCAACAUUGUUUUAGAUGCCAUAAAUGGGUUGCGUGAUGUUUGCAUAACAGAUCCAAGGAAUGAAAUCCCAGCGAAAAUAUUGGGUGAUGCAAGGUUCUACCCAUAUUUCAAGGUAUUUUCCUAUCGCAAACACAUGUUACUUUUAAAUAUGAUUAAAUACUAUGUCAUGGAAACUUAAACUUCAUUGUUUGACUAACAAAAAUCCCAACAGAACUGCCUAGGAGCAAUUGAUGGGACACACAUUGAGGCAAAAAUCAGGCUAGAUAAGCAAACUCCUUAUAGAAAUAGGCAUGGUUACCCCUCUCAAAAUGUAAUGGCAGCAGUGUCAUUUGACAUGACAUUCUCAUAUGUCGCUGCUGGAUGGGAAGGUUCUGCAUCAGAUCAAGCAGUUCUAAGAUGGGCUGUUACUAGUGGGGGUUUUGUUGUUCCUGAAGGUAAAAGUUCAAAUAUAUGAACUAUAUAUUGAUUAAUCUUAUUACAUAAAGAUUCUGACCGUGCUAUCAAACCUUACGUGCAGGUAAAUUUUAUCUUGUUGAUUCUGGAUAUGCAAAUACUCCAAAAUUUAUUGCCCCGUACCGUGGAGAUCGUUAUCAUAUUGCUUCUUUUCGUGGAAGUAAUCGACGAUAUACUAGUGAGAAAGAUAUGUUCAAUCAUCUGCACGCACAACUACGAAAUGUUGUUGAGCGAACUUUUGGUGUUCUAAAAGCUCGCUUUCCAAUUUUAAGUAGGAAAGGAGGAAUUCCUUAUCCAUAUAAAACACAAGUCAAAAUUGUUAUGGCUUGUUGUAUUAUCCACAACUUCAUCCGGAAGGUUAAUCAUCAUGAUGAGUUGUUCGAGCUUUAUGAGCAUGGGGAAGCACAACAACAUGUUGACCAUGGUGAUCAGCAAGUUAGAGGGCAAGCAAGAGAAGAUGAACGAGCUGCUGGUGAGAGAGUUCGUGCAGGCAUUGCUCGACAGUUGUGGAGUAAUCAUCAACAGCGUUCCGCUCAACAACCAGAAGAUGAUUGAGCAUUACAAUAUUAUUUUUUAAAUUUUAUUUAUAGAUUCAUUACAAUAAUAAUUGUUACAAUUUUUCAUCAAUUUAUAGGUUCCAAAACUUCCCGUUCUGUAUUAUAAGAUGAUAGUAAUGCUAAAUUAUUUUAUGUACAACUGUGUGCAAUAAAUUUGUCAUUCGAUAAGAAAAAUGGCUCCCAGCUCAAAUAAUUCGACCUUGAAAUGCAAACAAAGAAGAAAUGUUUACCUGCUCCGCCGAAUCAUAGUCCUCACGCUUGACCUCCAGCCCCGACAUGGCCGCUAUCAGGGUGGGCGGCGUCGAGCACUCUUUUGAGAUCUAAACUUCCAUGUACGGACGCUGCUGGACGGCCAGCAUCAAGGGGCGGCGUACAUCUGGGA